This 497-nucleotide ribosomal RNA is filed under the name Crotalus adamanteus (eastern diamondback rattlesnake). RNAcentral's name for it is "partial 16S large subunit ribosomal RNA". It matches the Rfam family "Bacterial large subunit ribosomal RNA", at positions 1843 to 2609 of the family's 2925-position model. The record is from RNAcentral. Lineage: Eukaryota; Metazoa; Chordata; Lepidosauria; Squamata; Viperidae.
GUAUUAAAGGCAACGCUGCCCAGUGAAAAAUUUAACGGCCGCGGUACCCUAACCGUGCAAAGGUAGCAUAAUCAUUUGUCUAUUAAUUGUAGACCAGUAUGAAAGGCAAAAUGAGAGCCCAACUGUCUCUUAUAAUAAAUCAAUUAAACUGAUCUCCUAGUACAAAAGCUAGAAUACUAAUAUAAGACCAGAAGACCCUGUGAAGCUUUAACUAACCUAUUAAACCUAGUAAUAACUACUUUCGGUUGGGGCGACCUUGGAAUAAAAAAGAACUUCCAACAUAUGAAUUCUCAUAAAAUUAGGCAAACAAGCCAACACCAGACCCAGCACAGCUGACAAUUGAAACAAGUUACUCCAGGGAUAACAGCGCUAUCUUCUUCAAGAGCCCAUAUCAAAAAGAAGGUUUACGACCUCGAUGUUGGAUCAGGACAUCCAAGUAAUGCAGCCGUUACUAAAGGUUCGUUUGUUCAACGAUUAACAGUCCUACGUGAUCUGAG